RNAcentral lists this long non-coding RNA (263 nucleotides) under Lathyrus oleraceus (garden pea). Its description in RNAcentral is "Pisum sativum (pea) long non-coding RNA (PSAT_LNC026018)". The record is from RNAcentral. Lineage: Eukaryota; Viridiplantae; Streptophyta; Magnoliopsida; Fabales; Fabaceae.
GCAUUUCCGGCAUUGUGUUUUUUUUUACUUUUCUUUCUUUCUCUUUUUUUUUUUUUGCAGGAUCGACCUCGAUUCCUCUUUAGUUCUCAAUAAGCCUCGGCAACUUACCAGACAGCACUCCACAAGUGCACUGAUUCGGACUCAAUAUCCGUCUGAGUUGUCUCAACCCGGUCAAACAACUUGCCCCGGAUUUCCCAGAUGCCCCACUUCUGCUUGGGACUUUGCUAUCAUGUCAUCAACAUAGCAUUUGAUUCCACGAUGAA